CCUACGGGCGGCUGCAGUGGGGAAUAUUGGACAAUGGGCGCAAGCCUGAUCCAGCCAUGCCGCGUGAGUGAUGAAGGCCUUAGGGUUGUAAAGCUCUUUUGCCGGGGACGAUAAUGACGGUACCCGGAGAAUAAGUCCCGGCUAACUUCGUGCCAGCAGCCGCGGUAAUACGAAGGGGACUAGCGUUGUUCGGAAUCACUGGGCGUAAAGCGCACGUAGGCGGAUAUGCCAGUCAGGGGUGAAAUCCCGGGGCUCAACCUCGGAACUGCCCUUGAUACAGCAUGUCUUGAGUCCGAUAGAGGUGGGUGGAAUUCCUAGUGUAGAGGUGAAAUUCGUAGAUAUUAGGAAGAACACCAGUGGCGAAGGCGGCCCACUGGAUCGGUACUGACGCUGAGGUGCGAAAGCGUGGGGAGCAAACAGGAUUAGAUACCCCAGUAGUC
This 440-nucleotide ribosomal RNA is filed under the name uncultured Hyphomicrobium sp. RNAcentral describes it as "bacterial SSU rRNA". It matches the Rfam family "Bacterial small subunit ribosomal RNA", at positions 338 to 795 of the family's 1533-position model. Lineage: Bacteria; Pseudomonadati; Pseudomonadota; Alphaproteobacteria; Hyphomicrobiales; Hyphomicrobiaceae. The record is from RNAcentral.